UACGAAGGGGGCUAGCGUUGCUCGGAAUCACUGGGCGUAAAGCGCACGUAGGCGGCUUUCUAAGUCAGGGGUGAAAUCCUGGAGCUCAACUCCAGAACUGCCUUUGAUACUGGGAAGCUCGAGUCCGGAAGAGGUGAGUGGAACUGCGAGUGUAGAGGUGAAAUUCGUAGAUAUUCGCAAGAACACCAGUGGCGAAGGCGGCUCACUGGUCCAUAACUGACGCUGAGGCACGAAAGCGUGGGGAGCAAACAGG
Molecule: ribosomal RNA, 253 nt
Filed under: uncultured bacterium
Lineage: Bacteria
Description: partial 16S ribosomal RNA
Rfam family: Bacterial small subunit ribosomal RNA
Source: RNAcentral